RNAcentral lists this ribosomal RNA (439 nucleotides) under uncultured bacterium. RNAcentral describes it as "partial 16S ribosomal RNA". It matches the Rfam family "Bacterial small subunit ribosomal RNA", at positions 338 to 795 of the family's 1533-position model. The record is from RNAcentral.
CCUACGGGCGGCAGCAGUGAGGAAUAUUGCACAAUGGGCGAAACCCUGAUGCAGCAACGCCGCGUGAGCGAUGAAGGCUUUCGGGUCGUAAAGCUCUGUCCUCAAGGAAGAUAAUGACGGUACUUGAGGAAGAAGCCCCAGCUAACUACGUACCCGCAGCCGCGGUAAUACGUAGGGGGCUAGCGUUUUCCGGAAUUACUGGGCGUAAAGGGUGCGUCGGUGGGUUCUUCAGUCGGAGGUGAAAGGCUACGGCCAAACCGUAGUAAGCCUUUGAAACUGGGGAACUUGAGUGCAGGAGAGGAGAGUGGAAUUCCUAGUGUAGCGGUGAAAUGCGUAGAUAUUAGGAGGAACACCAGUUGCGAAGGCGGCUCUCUGGACUGUAACUGACACUGAGGCACGAAAGCGUGGGGAGCAAACAGGAUUAGAUACCCCGGUAGUC